Small nucleolar RNA from Echinops telfairi (small Madagascar hedgehog), 213 nucleotides. Its record names the gene U3. It matches the Rfam family "Small nucleolar RNA U3". From Rfam's summary of the family: Small nucleolar RNAs (snoRNAs) are involved in the processing and modification of rRNA in the nucleolus. There are two main classes of snoRNAs: the box C/D class, and the box H/ACA class. The record is from Ensembl. Lineage: Eukaryota; Metazoa; Chordata; Mammalia; Afrosoricida; Tenrecidae.
AAGACUCUACUUUCAGGGAUCAUUUCUGUAGUUCGCUACUAGAGAAGUUUCUCUGAUUGUGUAGCCCACUGAACACCACAAGGAGGAGGUGCGGCAUUCUCUCCUGAGCAGGAAGCCAGCUCUGGGUGCUUGCUUUACUGCAGCUGCCAUUUGCCAUGGCUGAUUGUUCUUCUCUGCCUUUGUGCAGCGUGAGAGGGAGUGGAUGAAGUCUGG